This 253-nucleotide ribosomal RNA is filed under the name uncultured bacterium. RNAcentral describes it as "partial 16S ribosomal RNA". It matches the Rfam family "Bacterial small subunit ribosomal RNA", at positions 524 to 776 of the family's 1533-position model. The record is from RNAcentral.
UACGUAGGUGGCAAGCGUUGUCCGGAUUUACUGGGCGUAAAGGGAGCGCAGGCGGCGCGCCAAGUCUGAUGUGAAACCCCGGGGCUCAACCCCGGGCAUGCAUUGGAAACUGGCGGGCUGGAGUGCCGGAGAGGUAAGCGGAAUUCCUAGUGUAGCGGUGAAAUGCGUAGAUAUUAGGAGGAACACCAGUGGCGAAGGCGGCUUACUGGACGGCAACUGACGCUGAGGCUCGAAAGCGUGGGGAGCAAACAGG